AUGAAUUGAAUUAGUUGGAACUGCCGGGGAGGGGGGAAUACCCGGACAGUUCAAGAAAUAGCGACAUUGUCUCAGUCGCAUUCCCCCACUUUUAUUUUCCUACGCCAGACAAGACAGAAAGCUAGUAAGAUGAGGCGAAUUCGGGGCCGGCUGGGCCUUACAGGUUUUGAAGGGGUAGAUAGUAAUGGAAUGAGCGGUGGUCUUGCAUUGUACUGGCAUGAAGCU
RNAcentral lists this ribosomal RNA (225 nucleotides) under Triticum aestivum (bread wheat). RNAcentral's name for it is "partial small subunit ribosomal RNA". Lineage: Eukaryota; Viridiplantae; Streptophyta; Magnoliopsida; Poales; Poaceae. The record is from RNAcentral.